This 75-nucleotide transfer RNA is filed under the name Clostridioides difficile. RNAcentral describes it as "tRNA-Pro(tgg)". It matches the Rfam family "tRNA". From Rfam's summary of the family: Transfer RNA (tRNA) molecules are approximately 80 nucleotides in length. RNAcentral also lists the same sequence under 25 other names. The record is from RNAcentral. Lineage: Bacteria; Bacillati; Bacillota; Clostridia; Peptostreptococcales; Peptostreptococcaceae.
CGGGAUGUGGCGCAGCUUGGUAGCGCAUCCGCUUUGGGAGCGGAGGGUCGCAGGUUCAAAUCCUGUCAUCCCGAC